UAUGUUUAAUUUAUUAGUAAAAGGAAAGAGACGCAUCUAUUUGAGUCGUGUUUCUUUAGAUUUACAAAAGGUUUCUCUUUCAGAGAAAUAAGGUGUCUUUUCCUCAAAACAGAAAAAAAGUCCAUCAAAGUUAUCUCCAACAUAAAGCGUUUGGAACUAUCUUUUGUAACGGGUACGAUUUAAUUUGUGGUUUUAUAUGGUAUAGUUCAUUUUUAUAUGAAACUAUACUUUCUGAUUAGUGAAACGAAUUCAAUGAUCCUGCAAACUAUGUAUAUGAUCAAAUUCUUGAUAAUCU
RNAcentral lists this long non-coding RNA (295 nucleotides) under Solanum tuberosum (potato). Its description in RNAcentral is "long non-coding RNA (STUB_LNC006616)". Lineage: Eukaryota; Viridiplantae; Streptophyta; Magnoliopsida; Solanales; Solanaceae. The record is from RNAcentral.